GAUGAACGCUGGCGGCGUGCCUAAUACAUGCAAGUCGAGCGAACGGACGCGACGCUUGCUUCUCUGAUGUUAGCGGCGGACGGGUGAGUCACACGUGUAUCCCCUCCCUAUAAUACUGGGAUCACCUCGGGAAACCGGCGCUAAUACCGGAUGAUAUUUUGAUCCGCAUGGUUGAAAGGUGAAAUUCGGUCUUGCUGUCACUUCUCGCUGGUUCCGCGCUGCAUUAGCUGGUUGGUACGGUAACGGCUUACCAAGGCUACGAUGCAUAGCCGACCUGAGAGAGUGAUCGGCCACAUGGGAGCGUAGACACGGUCCUGGCGCCUGCGGGAGGGAGCAGUAGGGAAUCGGCGGCAAUGGGCGAAAGCCUGGCGGAGCAAGGCCGAGUGAGUUACGGAGGCCCCGGGAGCGUAAAGCUCUGUUAUGGGUUAUGAACAGAUUUGGAAGGAAAUGUGGCGAUCGUGACGGUACCUAAUCAAGAAGCCACGGCUAACUACGUG
RNAcentral lists this ribosomal RNA (497 nucleotides) under uncultured bacterium. RNAcentral describes it as "partial 16S ribosomal RNA". It matches the Rfam family "Bacterial small subunit ribosomal RNA", at positions 28 to 507 of the family's 1533-position model. The record is from RNAcentral.